CCUGCAUAAAAACUGUCAUCUUACUUUACAGCUGGAAAAUUUAUUUAGAAACUCUAGAAGUAUUUAACUCUAUAGUCUAAAAUUACCAAUCCUUGGUUACUCUUAUCAUGAUAUACAGCUAUUAACAAACAGCAUCUUUCGAUAGUGAAUAUAUAGCAUUAGCUUUCCGGGUCCCAAACAAAGAAGAGCUGAGCCAUAGGGAUCACUUGAGGGUAUGCUGUGGGGUUACCGAUGAGACACAUUUCUAGCAUUGCGGCAUCGACGUUCCUGUUAAAUUGCUAAUUAUCAGUUGAAUACCAGUAUUGAAAUUAUAAUGUUUUAUCACAUUAAAGCAAUUACAUUCGUUUGAAUAUCGAUAUCUUUAACAAUCAUUGCAU
Molecule: long non-coding RNA, 377 nt
Organism: Zeugodacus cucurbitae (melon fly)
Lineage: Eukaryota; Metazoa; Arthropoda; Insecta; Diptera; Tephritidae
Exons: 2
Source: RefSeq, a predicted model, not a curated record